CCUACGGGUGGCAGCAGUGGGGAAUAUUGGACAAUGGGGGCAACCCUGAUCCAGCCAUGCCGCGUGUGUGAAGAAGGCCCUCGGGUUGUAAAGCACUUUCAGUGAGGAAGAACGCCUGGUGGUUAAUACCCAUCAGGAAAGACAUCACUCACAGAAGAAGCACCGGCUAACUCCGUGCCAGCAGCCGCGGUAAUACGGAGGGUGCGGGCGUUAAUCGGAAUUACUGGGCGUAAAGCGCGCGUAGGUGGCUUGAUAAGCCGGUUGUGAAAGCCCCGGGCUCAACCUGGGAACGGCAUCCGGAACUGUCAAGCUAGAGUGCAGGAGAGGAAGGUAGAAUUCCCGGUGUAGCGGUGAAAUGCGUAGAGAUCGGGAGGAAUACCAGUGGCGAAGGCGGCCUUCUGGACUGACACUGACACUGAGGUGCGAAAGCGUGGGUAGCAAACAGGAUUAGAUACCCCAGUAGUC
This 465-nucleotide ribosomal RNA is filed under the name Vreelandella stevensii. RNAcentral's name for it is "partial 16S ribosomal RNA". It matches the Rfam family "Bacterial small subunit ribosomal RNA", at positions 338 to 795 of the family's 1533-position model. The record is from RNAcentral. Lineage: Bacteria; Pseudomonadati; Pseudomonadota; Gammaproteobacteria; Oceanospirillales; Halomonadaceae.